UACGUAGGUGGCAAGCGUUGUCCGGAUUUACUGGGCGUAAAGCGCGCGCAGGCGGUUCGGUACGUCCGGCGUGAAAGCUCCCGGCUCAACUGGGAGAGGGCGUUGGAUACGGCCGGACUGGAGGGCGGUAGAGGUCGGUGGAAUUCCCGGUGUAGUGGUGAAAUGCGCAGAGAUCGGGAGGAACACCUGUGGCGAAGGCGGCCGACUGGGCCGUCCCUGACGCUGAGGCGCGAAAGCGUGGGGAGCGAACCGG
RNAcentral lists this ribosomal RNA (253 nucleotides) under uncultured bacterium. RNAcentral's name for it is "partial 16S ribosomal RNA". It matches the Rfam family "Bacterial small subunit ribosomal RNA", at positions 524 to 776 of the family's 1533-position model. The record is from RNAcentral.